RNAcentral lists this long non-coding RNA (356 nucleotides) under Elaeis guineensis (African oil palm). RNAcentral's name for it is "long non-coding RNA (EGUI_LNC064825)". Lineage: Eukaryota; Viridiplantae; Streptophyta; Magnoliopsida; Arecales; Arecaceae. The record is from RNAcentral.
GAAGGCUUCUGGGCACAGUCAAAUACUUGCGAAGUCAGAGUGUGAUCGAGAUGGGAUUGACCACUCCAAGAGUUGGAGAAGAAUGAGUCGCUGUAUUUCAAUUUAGCAAAACCUUGGCCAGGGUAAUCCAUCAGAUGGAUUUGAUAUUUUGAAAUACAAUGUGGACAACCUGGUCAGAGUUGAUAGUUGAACUCUGGGGUGUUCUAUGACCAUUUUGGUCAAGGGGAUGAAUUAUAUGAAAACUAUAUCCGCAUGGGUUCUAAGGAUGUUGUUCUACACAUUCGACCUAUCCGGUCGUCGGGUACCAUUGCUAGAUGGUCACUUCGAUUGGUAUAAAAAUUUAUUUCUAUGCUACC